GAGUGGCGAACUGGUGAGUAACACGUGGGAAACCUGCCCAGAAGCGGGGGAUAACACCUGGAAACAGAUGCUAAUACCGCAUAACAACUUGGACCGCAUGGUCCGAGCUUGAAAGAUGGCUUCGGCUAUCACUUUUGGAUGGUCCCGCGGCGUAUUAGCUAGAUGGUGGGGUAACGGCUCACCAUGGCAAUGAUACGUAGCCGACCUGAGAGGGUAAUCGGCCACAUUGGGACUGAGACACGGCCCAAACUCCUACGGGAGGCAGCAGUAGGGAAUCUUCCACAAUGGACGAAAGUCUGAUGGAGCAACGCCGCGUGAGUGAAGAAGGGUUUCGGCUCGUAAAACUCUGUUGUUAAAGAAGAACAUAUCUGAGAGUAACUGUUCAGGUAUUGACGGUAUUUAACCAGAAAGCCACGGCUAACUACGUGCCAGCAGCCGCGGUAAUACGUAGGUGGCAAGCGUUGUCCGGAUUUAUUGGGCGUAAAGCGAGCGCAGGCGGUUUUUUAAGUCUGAUGUGAAAGCCUUCGGCUCAACCGAAGAAGUGCAUCGGAAACUGGGAAACUUGAGUGCAGAAGAGGACAGUGGAACUCCAUGUGUAGCGGUGAAAUGCGUAGAUAUAUGGAAGAACACCAGUGGCGAAGGCGGCUGUCUGGUCUGUAACUGACGCUGAGGCUCGAAAGUAUGGGUAGCAAACAGGAUUAGAUACCCUGGUAGUCCAUACCGUAAACGAUGAAUGCUAAGUGUUGGAGGGUUUCCGCCCUUCAGUGCUGCAGCUAACGCAUUAAGCAUUCCGCCUGGGGAGUACGGCCGCAAGGCUGAAACUCAAAGGAAUUGACGGGGGCCCGCACAAGCGGUGGAGCAUGUGGUUUAAUUCGAAGCUACGCGAAGAACCUUACCAGGUCUUGACAUACUAUGCAAAUCUAAGAGAUUAGACGUUCCCUUCGGGGACAUGGAUACAGGUGGUGCAUGGUUGUCGUCAGCUCGUGUCGUGAGAUGUUGGGUUAAGUCCCGCAACGAGCGCAACCCUUAUUAUCAGUUGCCAGCAUUAAGUUGGGCACUCUGGUGAGACUGCCGGUGACAAACCGGAGGAAGGUGGGGAUGACGUCAAAUCAUCAUGCCCCUUAUGACCUGGGCUACACACGUGCUACAAUGGAUGGUACAACGAGUUGCGAACUCGCGAGAGUAAGCUAAUCUCUUAAAGCCAUUCUCAGUUCGGAUUGUAGGCUGCAACUCGCCUACAUGAAGUCGGAAUCGCUAGUAAUCGCGGAUCAGCAUGCCGCGGUGAAUACGUUCCCGGGCCUUGUACACACCGCCCGUCACACCAUGAGAGUUUGUAACACCCAAAGUCGGUGAGGAGUAACCUCUAGGAACCAGCCUA
This 1378-nucleotide ribosomal RNA is filed under the name Enterococcus durans. RNAcentral's name for it is "16S ribosomal RNA". It matches the Rfam family "Bacterial small subunit ribosomal RNA", at positions 93 to 1456 of the family's 1533-position model. Lineage: Bacteria; Bacillati; Bacillota; Bacilli; Lactobacillales; Enterococcaceae. The record is from RNAcentral.